AACGAACGCUGGCGGCAGGCCUAACACAUGCAAGUCGAGCGCUUCACUUCGGUGAGGAGCGGCGGACGGGUUAGUAACGCGUGGGAAUAUACCCUUCUCUACGGAAUAGCCUCGGGAAACUGAGAGUAAUACCGUAUAAGCCCUUCGGGGGAAAGAUUUAUCGGUGAAGGAUUAGCCCGCGUUAGAUUAGAUAGUUGGUGGGGUAAUGGCCUACCAAGUCUACGAUCUAUAGCUGGUUUGAGAGGAUGAUCAGCAACACUGGGACUGAGACACGGCCCAGACUCCUACGGGAGGCAGCAGUGGGGAAUCUUAGACAAUGGGCGCAAGCCUGAUCUAGCCAUGCCGCGUGAGUGACGAAGGUCUUAGGAUCGUAAAGCUCUUUCGCCAGAGAUGAUAAUGACAGUAUCUAGGUAAACGAAACCCCGGCUAACUCCGUG
RNAcentral lists this ribosomal RNA (437 nucleotides) under uncultured Loktanella sp. Its description in RNAcentral is "bacterial SSU rRNA". It matches the Rfam family "Bacterial small subunit ribosomal RNA", at positions 29 to 507 of the family's 1533-position model. The record is from RNAcentral. Lineage: Bacteria; Pseudomonadati; Pseudomonadota; Alphaproteobacteria; Rhodobacterales; Roseobacteraceae.